RNAcentral lists this transfer RNA (67 nucleotides) under Gynaikothrips ficorum. RNAcentral's name for it is "tRNA-Ala". The record is from RNAcentral. Lineage: Eukaryota; Metazoa; Arthropoda; Insecta; Thysanoptera; Phlaeothripidae.
AGGAUAAUAAUUUAAUAAAAAUAUCUAUUUAGCAUAUAGAAAAUAUUAAAAAGAUUAAUUUAUCUUA